Molecule: transfer RNA, 76 nt
Filed under: Eubacteriales Family XIII. Incertae Sedis bacterium
Lineage: Bacteria; Bacillati; Bacillota; Clostridia; Peptostreptococcales; Anaerovoracaceae
Description: tRNA-Ala
Rfam family: tRNA
About the family: Transfer RNA (tRNA) molecules are approximately 80 nucleotides in length. Their secondary structure includes four short double-helical elements and three loops (D, anti-codon, and T loops). Further hydrogen bonds mediate the characteristic L-shaped molecular structure. tRNAs have two regions of fundamental functional importance: the anti-codon, which is responsible for specific mRNA codon recognition, and the 3' end, to which the tRNAs corresponding amino acid is attached (by aminoacyl-tRNA synthetases). tRNAs cope with the degeneracy of the genetic code in two manners: having more than one tRNA (with a specific anti-codon) for a particular amino acid; and 'wobble' base-pairing, i.e. permitting non-standard base-pairing at the 3rd anti-codon position.
Source: RNAcentral
GGGCUCUUAGCUCAGCUGGGAGAGCAUCGCACUGGCAGUGCGAAGGUCGGGGGUUCGAUUCCCCCAGAGUCCACCA